UGGAAGCUCCCAAGUUUUCUUUUAUUAUUAUUUUUUUUUAGAUUUAUUUAUUUAUUCAUGAGACACAGAGAGAGAGAGAGAGGCAGAGACACAGGCAGAGGGAGAAGCAGGCUCCCCGCGGGGUGCCCGGUGCGGGACUCGAUCCUGGAUCCCGGGAUCACGCCCUGAGCCGAAGGCAGGCGCCCAAACGCUGAGCCACCCAGGCGCCCCGGCUCCCAGGUUUUCAAACAGGCUUUCUUUUCUUUCUUUUUUUUUUUUUUUGUAUAUUUUUGUAUUGAUUUUUUUUUUUUUUAUUGGAGUUUGCUUUGCCAACAUCUAGUAUCACACGGAGGGCUCCUCCCGUCCAGUGCCCCCCGCAGUGCCCGUCCCCCGUCCCCGCCGCCCUUCCCCUUGUUCAUCUCCCAGCUUAGGAGUCUCGGGGUCUCACACAGGCUUUGGGGGGCGGGGGGCAGCGGCCGGGCUGCGAGAGGCGCGGGGACCCGGAGCUCCGCGGCCGGGGAGCAGCGCACGCGCACGCGCAGGCUGCGAGCGGCUCCCGCCGGCUCCUCCCGCGGCGGUCGGUCCGGGGACGUUCUCCCCGCCGCGGGGGCGACUGUGACCCCCGGCGGAGGCCCGGGCGGGCCGGGUCCCGAUCGGUGCUGGCGGACGUCACCCUGCCAGGUUCGGUGGUUCUGCAGCCUGGCUCCUCGCUUAGCUUGUACGGAGCUCCCCACUAAUGUGGACAAACCCUGAUACCCUCAGGUGACAGUCACAUGGCUCCAAACCCAGUCUGGCCACCUGCUUCCUCCACAUGGAAAAGGAAGGUUGUAAGGCUCGUACUAGGUAAGGUGUAUUGAAGCCCCUUGGGAAUAAGAGACCAAAGCACAAAUGUGAGGGGAGAGAAUCGUGA
Molecule: long non-coding RNA, 889 nt
Filed under: Canis lupus familiaris (dog)
Lineage: Eukaryota; Metazoa; Chordata; Mammalia; Carnivora; Canidae
Description: lncRNA (ENSCAFG00000045064.2)
Source: RNAcentral